Molecule: small RNA, 334 nt
Filed under: Pongo abelii (Sumatran orangutan)
Lineage: Eukaryota; Metazoa; Chordata; Mammalia; Primates; Hominidae
Description: processed transcript
Source: RNAcentral
GCACUUCCCAGGUCCCCGGCGCUUCUGUCCCUGGGACGUGGGAUCCCCACGGACCUGGAAAUUCUCGCCGGUCUUCCUUCACCCAGAGCAAAUUGAGACAUCCCGGCCUCGCCCCUGAGCUCUACAAUCCUGUGUCCAGUUGUCUCCUCAGCUCUCUCUUGGGACAUCAAACAGGCAUCCCCACCUUCAGGUGUCCACAAGUGGCUUCCUAAACCCCCAAACACAUUCCUUUGCAGUCUGCACAUCUCAGAUGAGAGUGACUGUGUACUUCCGGAAACUUAGCCUAACUUGACAGCAUGCAUUUUAAAUAUGUGAAAUAAAUUACUUUAUUUGU